AGUGAACGCUGGCGGUAGGCCUAACACAUGCAAGUCGAACGGCAGCACAGUAAGAGCUUGCUCUUACGGGUGGCGAGUGGCGGACGGGUGAGGAAUACAUCGGAAUCUACUUUUUCGUGGGGGAUAACGUAGGGAAACUUACGCUAAUACCGCAUACGACCUACGGGUGAAAGCAGGGGAUCUUCGGACCUUGCGCGAUUGUAUGAGCCGAUGUCGGAUUAGCUAGUUGGCGGGGUAAAGGCCCACCAAGGCGACGAUCCGUAGCUGGUCUGAGAGGAUGAUCAGCCACACUGGAACUGAGACACGGUCCAGACUCCUACGGGAGGCAGCAGUGGGGAAUAUUGGACAAUGGGCGCAAGCCUGAUCCAGCCAUACCGCGUGGGUGAAGAAGGCCUUCGGGUUGUAAAGCACUUUUGUUGGGAAAGAAAAGCAGCAGGUUAAUACCCCGCUGUUCUGACGGUACCAAAAGAAUAAGCACCGGCUAACUUCGUG
Molecule: ribosomal RNA, 492 nt
Filed under: uncultured bacterium
Lineage: Bacteria
Description: partial 16S ribosomal RNA
Rfam family: Bacterial small subunit ribosomal RNA
Source: RNAcentral